AUUCAGAGAUGGAUUUGUGCCUUCGGGAACCGUGAGACAGGUGCUGCAUGGCUGUCGUCAGCUCGUGUUGUGAAAUGUUGGGUUAAGUCCCGCAACGAGCGCAACCCUUAUCCUUUGUUGCCAGCGAUUCGGUCGGGAACUCAAAGGAGACUGCCAGUGAUAAACUGGAGGAAGGUGGGGAUGACGUCAAGUCAUCAUGGCCCUUACGACCAGGGCUACACACGUGCUACAAUGGCGCAUACAAAGAGAAGCGACCUCGCGAGAGCAAGCGGACCUCAUAAAGUGCGUCGUAGUCCGGAUUGGAGUCUGCAACUCGACUCCAUGAAGUCGGAAUCGCUAGUAAUCGUGGAUCAGAAUGCCACGGUGAAUACGUUCCCGGGCCUUGUACACACCGCCCGUCACACCAUGGGAGUGGGUUGCAAAAGAAGUAGGUAGCUUAACCUUCGGGAGGGCGCUUACCACUUUGUGAUUCAUGACUGGGGUGAAGUCGUAACAAGGUAACCGUAGGGGAACCUGCGGUUGGAUCACCUCCUUACCUUAAAGAAGC
Molecule: ribosomal RNA, 547 nt
Filed under: Salmonella enterica subsp. enterica serovar Anatum
Lineage: Bacteria; Pseudomonadati; Pseudomonadota; Gammaproteobacteria; Enterobacterales; Enterobacteriaceae
Also listed under: 1 other name
Description: bacterial SSU rRNA
Rfam family: Bacterial small subunit ribosomal RNA
Source: RNAcentral